This 254-nucleotide ribosomal RNA is filed under the name uncultured bacterium. RNAcentral's name for it is "partial small subunit ribosomal RNA". It matches the Rfam family "Bacterial small subunit ribosomal RNA", at positions 26 to 285 of the family's 1533-position model. The record is from RNAcentral.
AGGACGAACGCUGGCGGCGUGCUUAACACAUGCAAGUCGAGCGGAAAGGCCCUUCGGGGUACUCGAGCGGCGAACGGGUGAGUAACACGUGAGUAAUCUGCCCCUAGCUCUGGGAUAGCUCCGGGAAACCGGGAUUAAUACCAGAUAUGACCACUUUAGACAUCUGCUGUGGUGGAAGAAUUUCGGCUAGGGAUGAGCUCGCGGCCUAGUCAGCUUGUUGGUGGGGUAAUGGCCUACCAAGGCGACGACGGGUA